Molecule: long non-coding RNA, 731 nt
Filed under: Elaeis guineensis (African oil palm)
Lineage: Eukaryota; Viridiplantae; Streptophyta; Magnoliopsida; Arecales; Arecaceae
Description: long non-coding RNA (EGUI_LNC053378)
Source: RNAcentral
CCAUUCUUCUUGUGCCACCUCACUUCCACUGUGCCCAUUUGAAUUCACGAGAAGGAAGUUCUCAUAAAUUUUUUCUCACGCAAAGCCCUCCUCACGCCCUACUUUAAUGCACCAAAUGAGUGGAUAAGGAUGAUUGGUUGGCCAUUCAAAUUCAAAACAAAGAUUGAAUUUGAAUGAGCAACCAAUCUUAGCACCUUGACCUUAUCCUCUUUUAGCGCCCCAUUUAUUACAUAAAAAAAUAUUUCUCAUGAAAUCACUUACGCACAAAUUAAGCCAUGCCCUCCUCUUCUCACGCUCUUAGUGGAUAGGGAUAAAUUGGUUUCCAUUUGAAUUUAAAAUUUGAUUUGAAUUCAAAUGUGCAAUUACUCAUCUUUAUCCUCUCACGUGGAUAAGACGUUUGACAUUGUUUUAAAAGGAGGAGAAGUGUGGGGCGUGUGCAAGAAAAAUUUUGAAGAGAAAAUCUGGGCGUGAGAAAUCCUUGUGUACAAGGUGAAGGUCUAUAUCCUUCCAAGAGAAAAAGAAAGAAAAGAAAGAAAAAGUGUGCGCAGGGUUUCAGUGAGUUCUUUAGGGUUUCAGCCUGGAGUUCGGGAAGUGAGAAGGUGAGCUACGAGUGUCGUGAGCCCAUCAAAUUUCAGGAAGAUCUUCAACAUCCUCUCAAGCACGUCUGCUAAUGAUCCAGAGCAUCCAAAAAAUCGACAGACAUCGAUCGAAGGAGUUCGAUCAGCAUCGGC